UAUAUAAAGAAAUCUUCGGAUGGAAAUAUAUAUUUCUUAGCGGCGGACGGGUGAGUAACGCGUGAGGAACCUGCCUUGUACUAGGGGAUAGCCUCGGGAAACCGGGAUUAAUACCCUAUGAUACUUGAGGAUCGCAUGAUUUUCAAGUCAAAGCGAUUAAGCGGUAUAAGAUGGACUCGCGUCCCAUUAGCUAGUUGGUGAGGUAAUAGCUCACCAAGGCGACGAUGGGUAGCCGGCCUGAGAGGGUGAACGGCCACACUGGAACUGAGACACGGUCCAGACUCCUACGGGAGGCAGCAGUGGGGAAUAUUGCACAAUGGAGGGAACUCUGAUGCAGCGACGCCGCGUGAGCGAUGAAGGUUUUCGGAUCGUAAAGCUCUGUCCUAAGGGACGAUAAUGACGGUACCUUAGGAGGAAGCCCCGGCUAACUACGUGCCAGCAGCCGCGGUAAUACGUAGGGGGCGAGCGUUGUCCGGAUUUAUUGGGCGUAAAGGGUGCGUAGGCGGCCUUGUAAGUCAGAUGUGAAAUCUCACGGCUUAACCGUGGUAAGCAUUUGAAACUGUGAGGCUUGAGUACAGGAGAGGAGAGUGGAAUUCCUAGUGUAGCGGUGAAAUGCGUAGAUAUUAGGAGGAAUACCAGUGGCGAAGGCGACUCUCUGGACUGUAACUGACGCUGAGGCACGAAAGCGUGGGGAGCAAACAGGAUUAGAUACCCUGGUAGUCCACGCCGUAAACGAUGAGUGCUAGGUGUC
RNAcentral lists this ribosomal RNA (751 nucleotides) under bacterium enrichment culture. Its description in RNAcentral is "bacterial SSU rRNA". It matches the Rfam family "Bacterial small subunit ribosomal RNA", at positions 63 to 824 of the family's 1533-position model. The record is from RNAcentral.